Molecule: ribosomal RNA, 1965 nt
Filed under: human gut metagenome
Description: bacterial LSU rRNA
Rfam family: Bacterial large subunit ribosomal RNA
Source: RNAcentral
AAUCGAACCCGGAGAUAGCUGGUUCUCCUCGAAAUAGCUUUAGGGCUAGCCUCGCAUUAGUUUACCGGAGGUAGAGCACUGAAUGGUCUAGGGGGCCUCACCGCCUACCGAAACCUAUCAAACUGCGAAUGCCGGAUAAAUGAUGUGCGGGAGUCAGGCCGCGAGAGAUAAGUUCCGCGGUCAAAAGGGGAACACCCCAGAUCGUCUGCUAAGGUCCCCAAGUACGCGUUAAGUGGGAAAGGAUGUUGGAUUGCACAGACAACCAGGAUGUUGGCUUAGAAGCAGCCACACAUUCAAAGAGUGCGUAAUAGCUCACUGGUCGAGUGAUCCAGCGCCGAAAAUGUAACGGGGCUAAAACGCGACACCGAAGCAGCGGGAUGCGUAAGCAUCGGUAGAGGAGCAUUGUGUGAGGGUUGAAGCCAGAGCGGGAGCACUGGUGGACUUCACAGAAGAGAGAAUGCCGGUAUGAGUAGCGAGACCCAUGCGAGAAACAUGGGCGUCGAAGGCCCAAGGUUUCCUGGGGAAGGUUCAUCCACCCAGGGUAAGUCGGGACCUAAGCCGAGGACUGAGGUCGUAGGCGAUGGACAGCAGGUAGAGAUUCCUGCACCACUACCACUUGUUUGACGAAGCAGUGACACAGAAGGAUAGGACGAGCGCGGUGAUGGUCAACCGCGUAGGCGGCACGAGGCCGGGAAGCAGUGAAGUACACUUCCCGCAAAGGCUGAGUGUUGACAGGACCGAAAAGAAGUAGGGAAGCGUCCGAGUUCACGCUGGCGAGAAAAGCUGCUAAGGAGAGUGUGAGUGCCCGUACCGGAAACCGACGCAGGUGGGCGAGGAGAGAAUCCUGAGACGGACGGGAGAACUCUUGUUAAGGAACUCGGCAAAAUGACCCCGUAACUUCGGGAGAAGGGGUGCCUCGAAAGAGGCCGCAGAGAAUAGUCACAAGCGACUGUUUAGCAAAAACACAGGUAUCUGCGAAAGCGAGAGCUGACGUAUAGGUGCUGACGCCUGCCCGGUGCUGGAAGGUUAAGGGGAAGUGUUAGGGGAAACCCGAAGCAGAGAACCGAAGCCCCAGUAAACGGCGGCCGUAACUAUAACGGUCCUAAGGUAGCGAAAUUCCUUGUCGGGUAAGUUCCGACCCGCACGAAUGGCGUAACGACUUGUGAGCUGUCUCAACAGGAGGCCCGGUGAAAUUGAAGUAUGUGUGAAGAUGCACAUUACCCGCGACUGGACGGAAAGACCCCGUAGAGCUUUACUGUAACCUGACAUUGGAUCUUGAUAACGGAUGCACAGGAUAGGUGGGACGCUGGGAGACGAGGACUUUGGUUUUCGUGGAGCGGCCGUUGGGAUACCACUCUUCUGUUAUUGAGAUUCUAACCUCAAGCCGUGAGCCGGAUGAGAGACAGUGUCAGGCGGACAGUUUGACUGGGGCGGUCGCCUCCGAAAGAGUAACGGAGGCGCCCAAAGGUACCCUCAGAAUGGAUGGAAACCAUUCGAAGAGAGCAAAGUCAGAAGGGUGCUUGACUGCGAGACCAACAAGUCGAGCAGGUACGAAAGUAGGGCUUAGUGAUCCGGCGGUAAGAGAGUGGAAUUGCCGUCGCUCAACGGAUAAAAGCUACCUCGGGGAUAACAGGCUGAUCUCCCCCAAGAGUUCACAUCGACGGGGAGGUUUGGCACCUCGAUGUCGGCUCAUCGCAUCCUGGGGCUGUAUUCGGUCCCAAGGGUUUGGCUGUUCGCCAAUUAAAGCGGCACGCGAGCUGGGUUCAGAACGUCGUGAGACAGUUCGGUCCCUAUCCAUCGUGGGCGAAGGACACAUGAGAGGAGCUGCUCCUAGUACGAGAGGACCGGAGUGGACGCAUCACUGGUGCAACUGUUGUCGUGCCAACGGCACAGCAGGGAAGCGAAAUGCGGACGGGAUAAACGCUGAAGGCAUCUAAGCGUGAAGCCCACCUCAAGAAUAAGUGU